RNA transcript from Nilaparvata lugens (brown planthopper), 6344 nucleotides. It is a transcript of the gene named conserved oligomeric Golgi complex subunit 1, with no coding region annotated. The record is from RefSeq and is a predicted model, not a curated record. NCBI's taxonomy places the organism in Eukaryota, Metazoa, Arthropoda, Insecta, Hemiptera, Delphacidae. The transcript is spliced from 11 exons.
GCUGACAGCCGCUGACGACGACGAUCGACGAGCCGAUUUUUGUUUUGUUUGUAGUGAUUUGUGUUAAUUGAGUUUUUAUAAUAUACUGUUUGUGAAAUAGUAAAUCUUUUUUAUUUAUUCUCCAGUUUAGAAACUUUUCAUGCAUACCAUCAUACUAAUAUGUGUUGAAUUUGUUGUGUGAUCUGAAUAAAUUGUAUUUACAUCAUGAUAACCUCAAACUUGUUCGAAAUAGACCCGGAUAAACUAUUUGAAACAUCUAGUAUUGAGGAGAUUCAAAAAGUUCAGAUUUCAAUUCAACAUGAAAUUGAAAGAAAAAGGGAAGAGCUUCGUACUAUGGUUGGGGAACGAUACAGAGACUUGAUCGAGGCAGCCGAUACAAUAGCAGAAAUGAAAGACAUUUCUCUAAACGUUAUCGAAGAUAUCAAUAAAGUCAGUGCUUCCACCGAAGAAAUGCAUCAGAAAUUUAUUCUUAGACAAGAUGUAAGAAGAUUCAAAAAGUUAUCUUUUGAAGGUAUUAAUACUAGUAAGUUAGAUCAGACAGCUGUACAAAUGAAAGUUCUUAUAAGUUUACCAGAACAGAUAUGGACGUUUAUUGAUACUGAAGAUUAUGCUAAAGCUUCACAGCUUUACCUUUUGGCUAGGCAUUUCAAAACUGGGUUAGAAGUGCAAAAGUUUCAGUGUCUACUGCUAGAUCAUCAAUGGGAAAUUAUUGCUCAGUUUAAGGAAAAUAUAUUGAGUGCAACCAAAGAUAUGUUGAAGCAACAGACACUUUCCUCAGAAUCAGCGUGUAACUGCUUUCUUGCUAUUAUGAUGCUUGAAAAUCUUGAUUCUAAAGGAUUAGUUGCUAAAUUUCUUGAGUUGAGAUCGGCAGCAUUACACGAGCUUCUAAGUGUAGGAGAUUCAUUUGAAGAUGCUGCUGCAAUAAAAAAGAGAUUUGUGGCUAGCCAUUCGCUCAUCAUAUCUACCGCUCUUGUCCUGUGUUCGUGUUUUAUUGAAAGUGACAUCAACAACCAUGAUGGUUUGUUGUAUCAAAACGCAAGGGAAAUAACAGGCAGAGAUGCAAAGCCAAUAAUUUCACUCCUCCCAGAAAUCCAAUCGGACUUCCUAUCAGCAGUAACAGUCCAUAGGAUUUUACCAGACCUGGCGUUGGAUCCUGUUCCACCGGGAGAAAUGGCAGCUGCUUUUGAAGGAUGGUUGUCUCAAGUGCGUGUGUUUGUGCAACAGUCUGGUCAUGAUCUACUCGAAAAGCUGAACACUUUGAGAUCGCUGCAGGGAUUAAGGAAAGCAUACCAGGGGCCUUCAGUUGAAUGGAACCUAGCUCUGCAGAGACUGAUGCAACCACCCAAUGUGGAUCUGUGGACGACCGUCUACUGUCCGCUGAUAGUGGAACGAGCCAGGGCUCUGAUAUCGCUGCACUGGAGCAUGGGCCUCCAACACAUCACCACCGAAACCAUCCAGUUGGUCAAUUCUGCUGACGAUAGCAAAUGUCCUGAGACAGACCUUCGCUGGCAUGUCUGGAAGGAGGAGCCUCAACUCGAUCUGACGUCCGAUGAAAACGACAAGAAUAACGUUUGGUGGCUGAAGUCGCAAGGCGUUUCGCCGCGUGUGGCCGACAUGUGUCGCGUGCUAGAGGACAGACUGCAACUGCUAACGGGUGACCUGGCCGCCCUCUGCCCCGGGGAGACAGAGGAGGUUGAUGCCACCGUACUCAGUGACCACAGUGCGUUGCGCGCCCAUCAGCAGCAAGUCUGUCUUGACUUUGUCUCCAAGUUGACAGAGUUUGUACGUGAUGAGAUAAACAAGAGUGAGAAGGAAGCAAUACCUUCUCUAUACGCUCGUUAUCUGCAAAUAAUUUCCAAACUCUGCCCAUCGUUACAGAAAUGUUUGACUGGCUUGGAUUUCAAGACUAACUCAUGGCAACAUGUGUGCUCCAUGCUGAAUGAGAACACAGAAUUCGCGUGGACAAUCUGGCAACAGCGAGUUAUAACGAAAUUGAAACCUGUCAUCCAAACAGCUCUUGUGCCUCCAACACAACUCAGCGAUCUUCUCCACAUGAUACCUCAAUGGAAUGUAGUUGAGGUGGAGGAAAUAGGAGAAAGCCAGCAAAAGAUCAAGUCGCAACUCAAUGUACCCUCUUCCGCGUCGCUUCAGUUGCUUCAAGUUCUCGCACAGAUCAACACGACCUUGAGUCGAGCAUUCAUUCCUCUGUAUGCUACCGAGCUUGUUAUAAAGAACGUGGUCCAGGAAAUAAUUCAGUUGUAUGACCAGUGCGAGAUACUCUGUCAAGCUCAUGCUCUCCAACAUCUGUUUGACCUGAAAUAUAUUUCUGCACUAAUGGUGUCGCCUGAGUAUAAGUCUCUGCAGACAGUCUGCCGAGAAUCUAUUGAGAAAAUAGAGAGAUCGAUUGAUCCAUUUGAUCUGGACGUGUUUGCUCCUUACAUCCAGGACAAUGUCAAGAAGUCUCUUAGAGAAACUCAGUUGAUGUUCGGUGUGCUUUGUCGACCGCGUAUGCAGACGUCAGCAGUGCAGCCAACACAGCAGAGCUCUGCGGCCAAUGAGGACCCCAGCAUCCUGGCCCUCAGCCAAUCAGGGCCCAGCGUCUGGUUCAGACUGUUGCCUGUGACUGCACCAGCCGGCACCAGAGCUAUCAACGCACCCAAAAAGGCUGGGAAGACAGGUAUCUCGACUACACCUGUUGGAGCCAACCCAGAAUCUGAUGUGUCAGCAAAAACCACUCUGACCAACGCAGCAACGUCAUUUUUUGGAUCAGUUACUGCUGACUGGUUUGGUUCGUCAUAAAAGCAAAGAACCGCUGAGAAGAAACAUUCUUUUUUGGAGGAAACUGUUGCUGUAAUAUAUGUUUCAUUUCUUCAUCAUCACCAUCAAAGGAUUGUACUGGUUCUGGAAAAUAUUCAGAUUCGACUAUCAGGAUGUGAUUUUAACAUCAAAUCUUCCAAUCGUAUCUAUCCACUGUUUCUCAUCGUGUUCACUACGCAUUCUACAUUGACUGUGAUGAAUCAAUAUCAAUUACUCAUCAAUUUAGAGCAACUCCUUGUCUUGAGUUGAACUACUUACAGAGAUGUAUUUCAUUCAUUUGUAUGCUAUGACAAUAGAAGUUAUUGAUGAGAAAAAAGAAAGUUACCAAAGAAUAGGGCAAAUGAAAAUUGUUAAAGUGUUGUUCUAAUUAAAUAUGAAAUAAAUGUAGAAAAGAAAUUCAAAGCCUGAUAAAUAUCAAGCAAUAAUCCAUCUGUUUCGUCUCAUUGGUCUUAGCACCAUAGCACGGAGUAAUGAACAACGAAUGAAUGUUGUUUCUUUUUUCUGUGGUCAUAGCCAGUACAUUCAGCGUAAAGUCUUUGAAGUUUUCCCUCAAGUUCGGGAAUACAAGAAUUUUUAUUGAAGGCCUUGAUACCAGUAGCUUCUGACACUCGCAUCACAACUGAGACCGGCUUAAAUAUUGGUAAGGUAACUAAAGUUUGAGAAAAACUUUAACCUUGUGAUGAGAAGCUUCGAAGCUUGAUUAAAAUAUGAUUUGGAGGUAACCAUAAGAAAAUAAAUUGUAGCAAGUUUACAUAGAAAAAAGUUGAUCGCAUUUAAAUAUCCUAAUAUCUACCUACUGUAUUUGAAUACUGUCUUAUUAGAAAUACUCAAUUUUUAUAAGCGUGAUGAAAGUAGGUAUCUUAUUCUAAAUUGAGGAAUUGAUCAGAACAUAAGGUUUGAAUGAUCUGUUAUAUUGGCAGUGUUAAAAAUAUGUGAUACGGUAAUUAAAUUUCAACAACUUUAUAAAAUGAAAGAUAUCACGAUUUAAUUACAAUAAAAUUACAAAUAUAUUAAUAAUAUUUAGGCUAUCUAUUGUAAAAAAAUCAUUUUCAACAGUGUUUACAGACGUUUACUGUAAAUUAUAAUAGAACAAAUAUAAUUAUCUUCAUUUCUGCUUUUCAUUAUGCUAACAUGCAAGAAAGUCCAUGAUAAGAAUAAGAUUAAAUGGUAUUUUUAUUAAUCGUAUGGGCGAGCAUCUUAUCCAAUUAUAAUUAUUUAGAGCAAGUUUGUAAAAAAUUCAACAAGAGAUAUUGUUUCAUUAGAAACAUAGGUAGGCCUAUGAAAUAGAAAUAGAAAUAUUUUAAUUUUGAGCAAAAGCUUGUUGUUCAAAUAGAUAAUUUCAAGGUAUUAAACUUAGAUUUUAAAAACACUUAUGGAGUGAAAAUGCAACAGAGAUAAUUAUUGUUUUCAUUGACCUAUUCUCAACAUUUUUAAAUCCAAGAAUUACUUAUUACUGUGUGAGGAUUUAUACAUUCUUGGAUUCAUCAUGUAAAUUUAGUUGAAAUUAAAACAUACAUUGAGAAUGCAAAUUUGAUUGUUUAGCUCAGGAAUAUUAACUUGAAAUAAAAUUAAUAGUGAUAGUACCGGAGGAGUACUAGUAAGUAAUUAGUAGAUAUUUAAAAUAAAUUGAAGUACAAAAACAUGAAUUCCAAAAUUAUCUGCUUCUUUACAUGCAUAGUAAGAUAAUAAUUUGAAUCUGGAUUCUCAUUAAAUUCUCAUUUUAUCAGUAUCAGUUUAUGUGUUCCCACUCAGCCUAGCCAAGCUAGUAUGAAUCGUCCCAUUAGAAAGCAUGAGAAUUAUAUUUUCACUCUUCAGCGUUAUAGAUAGAUUACAAGUGUAGCAUGAGACUGACUUUGAAUUAUAGUCAUGAAUAUUGGGUUGAAAAACCUCACCGUGGAUUUCUCAAUUUUCAUAGAAAAUUGAUUCCUUAGAUAAACAUUAUAUUUAUAUUUCCUACGACUGUAUUGGUUUUAAAGUUUAAAAACUAAUGAAACGAAACAUACUAACUAUUCAAAUAACAUUUAUUUUCAAAUCAUGGACAUUUUAGAAAAAUAAAUUAUUAACAAACGAGAAUACAUUAGUAUAUUGAAAUGCAACAAAUGAAUGCAUAACGUUACAGAAAUACAAUGAUUGAGUUCAUUAUUGAUUGCCUUAUUCUAAUUAUCGUCUUAGAUGAUUAAAAACGAAAUUUUGCAUCAAGUAGUCACCGAAAAAUAUAUGCGUCCAUUCUUUGAUUUUCAGAAGUUACAUAAAAAUUAAUUCCCGAUAGUUUGGUGAAUCUGUAUUGUUUGCUAUCAUCUUUGACUCGAAUUUAGAAUUUUGAAACUAUAAUUUUUUUAAGGAAUUUCGAAGGCAAUUGUUGAAUUUUUCAUAACAAUUCUAUAAUAGAUUCGACUUGUAUUUCUUAUAUAAAUCAAUCAUAACUCAGAAAUACAAGCCGAAUCUAUAAUAGAAUUAUUAUUAACAAUUUUCUCGUCUUGUAAAACACAGAUCUCAAUAAAUAGAAGGAAUUAUGUUUUGCUACACAUUAUUAUGUGAGUGUAAAUUUCGUGAUUCAUAACAACACUGUGAUGUUGAGAGGAAGGGGCUUUGCUUUAUAUAACCAUAGAAGAAUAAAGAUAGAGAACUACCUAUGUUUUCUCUUAUUAUAAUACUGAAUCUAAUGGACAACAUUGACUUUUUAUCAAAAUUUGGAAGAGAAAUUGUAUAGGCUCAGCCUACUUUUUCCUCCACAUUCAUAAUUAUAUUAUGAUUAUUGUGUUUUGUAAAAUAAAUCAAUGAAAUUGACAGAAAAACAAGAUUUUUUAUGGCAUGGUUAUACGUUGUUUGCACUGUACGUGUGCAUUCCCUCCACCAAUGAAAGCCAUACUUGUGUAAUAAUUUUCAAGAGAUUUAUGCAAAACUUAAUAUAUUCACUGAGACUGUUAUAUUGAGUUAAUUUAGUUGCAAUACCGUUCCUGUGAACGGGAUUGAAAGCAAAUUACGUUAAUUGGUUCAAAAAUGGAAAAACUAUUUAUUGAUGGCAAAUUAUUGGCAAGUGAAGAAGAUUGAUAGUGCCAUUUCUUAGCAGUAUCUUUUGACAGAACUUCUUUUAUUAGAGUGCUAGAUAUAGUAAAUUUGAACACGCGACGCUUUGCUACUAGAUGGAACCUGUUCAGCGCAAAGUUAAAUUGAAAAAAACUGACAUUCGUUAUAUUUAUGAAUAUUGUCUAUUCAAGUUUCAGAUCAAGGAUGCAUUAAUGAGCUUACAUUCAUCGAUAGCAUUUUUGAUGUAACUAAGAACAACAACAUUUGAUGAUUUUUAGAAGCUAGCCUGUGUAUUUUAUUUUUUACUAAAGUUUUAAUUAAUGGGAAGUGAGUUUCCAAUAAAUUUUAUUCGGAUUGAUGAUUGUUUCUAGUAGGUGAUGGAUGUUUCAAUUGCAUUCAAUGCAUUUAAGGGCUCAUUAGAUAAGUCAAGAAACUACUAAUGAAAAAAGCCUGCUCAGAUUCUCAGAACCCUUGAAUGUAAUGUUUUCGUUGCGAAAAAA